UUUAUGAUUUUCUUUUUCUCCCGUGUACAGAAUUAAGGAUGUGAACUUUUCUGAGCUCGGUUUACUGGGCACAAAAUUGAAACACGCAAUAUUCAUUUGGAGUAAAAUGGCAUUUGGGGAAACCCCCAAAGCCGCUUUAUUAAUUAUAAAAUUUUUCAAUAACAAGUAUUUGAUUUAAAUUAUAUAUAAUAUAGUCUUGCCCAGUAAAGGUGAAGGGCACAAAAACGCUAACAAAAAAUUAUGCAUACAACAAUAUAGCUAAACAUAAAGAAAGCAGUAAGGGAGGGAUGGUGGGAAAUUUCUCUUCUGUUAUCGGCGAAAUCAAGCGGCAAAUGAGGCCGAUCUCACGUGGUAGCCUUGGUUUUAUGUCGGCGUUCUACGUCAGACCGAGGCUCGUCACCAAUCCCCCUUGCUUCUUCCUUCACAUCGGCAACUUCCGUAUGAUCAACUUGGAUUAAAUUUCCAACCAAGAAACUCAUAAAAACUCUAUUUGCCUUCAAAUAUUUCAUUUAUGAUUUUCUUUUUCUCCCGUGUACAGAAUUAAGGAUGUGAACUUUUCUGAGCUCGGUUUACUGGGCACGAAAUUGAAACACGCAAUAUUCAUUUGGAGUAAAAUGGCAUUUGGGGAAACCCCCAAAGCCGCUUUAUUAAUUAUGAAAUUUUUCAAUAACAAGUAUUUGAUUUAAAUUAUAUAUAAUAUAGUCUUGCCCAGUAAAGGUGAAGGGCACAAAAACGCCAAGAGCGUCAUGCAAAUGAUGCUGCCCCACCCGAAGAAAAAUACACAUCCUUGUCUGAUAAAUAUUGCAGUGAAGCAUAAACAUUAAUAUCAAUAAACAACAAAAACACUCGUCGGCCUGCUGCUCUUGCCAAUCA
This is a non-coding RNA of Paramuricea clavata, 873 nucleotides long. NCBI's taxonomy places the organism in Eukaryota, Metazoa, Cnidaria, Anthozoa, Malacalcyonacea, Plexauridae. The record is from the annotation of a GenBank genome assembly.